This 59-nucleotide transfer-messenger RNA is filed under the name Gammaproteobacteria bacterium. RNAcentral's name for it is "partial transfer-messenger RNA". It matches the Rfam family "transfer-messenger RNA", at positions 314 to 374 of the family's 374-position model. From Rfam's summary of the family: Bacterial tmRNA, also known as 10Sa RNA or SsrA, is named for its dual tRNA and mRNA-like properties. Its role is to liberate the mRNA from a stalled ribosome. The record is from RNAcentral. Lineage: Bacteria; Pseudomonadati; Pseudomonadota; Gammaproteobacteria.
AUGUAGAGCCCUGAGCGGAGUGCUUGCGGACGCGGGUUCGAUUCCCGCCGCCUCCACCA